CCAAUAGCGUAUAUUAAAGUUGUUGCAGUUAAAAAGCUCGUAGUUGAAUUUUGGGUUUGGCCGAUUGGUCCGUUCUUGUAGCGAGUACUGGUCGGUUGGGCCUCACCGCUUGGGGAAGGGUAAUGUCCUUUAUUGGGUGUUGCUCGGAGCCAAGACCUUUACCUUGAAAAAAUUAGAGUGUUUAAAGCAGGCUUAUGCCGGAAUACAUUAGCAUGGAAUAAUAGAAUAGGACAACGAUUCUAUUUUGUUGGUUUCUAGGACCGUUGUAAUGAUUAAUAGGGAUAGUUGGGGGCAUUAGUAUUCAAUUGUCAGAGGUGAAAUUCUUGGAUUUAUUGAAGACUAACUACUGCGAAAGCAUUUGCCAAGGAUGUUUUCAUUAAUCAAGAACGAAAGUUAGGGGAUCGAAGACGAUCAGAUACCGUCGUAGUCUUAACCAUAAACUAUGCCGACUAGGGAUCGGGCGAUGUUGUUUCAAUGACUCGCUCGGCACCUUAUG
Molecule: non-coding RNA, 496 nt
Filed under: uncultured Archaeospora
Lineage: Eukaryota; Fungi; Glomeromycota; Glomeromycetes; Archaeosporales; Archaeosporaceae
Also listed under: 1 other name
Description: SSU rRNA
Rfam family: Eukaryotic small subunit ribosomal RNA
Source: RNAcentral